UAUAAUUGCACCUUCACACCAAACUACUAAAGAAAAUGUUGAUAAAGAAGACAUCAAGGAUUUGUUUUGUCAAACUGCAGAGAACCUCUGCUCAAGCAUGCUCCCCACAUCUUAGUUCUGAUAUUUUAAAAGGUGUUUUGAUUUUACUGUCUCCACCCAUAUGGCGCUUCAUUAUGCUGUCCACAUGACACCUUCUAUCCCUGACAUAUCUCAUCCUUCAUGUAAUGAUGAUUACCAGCC
RNAcentral lists this long non-coding RNA (240 nucleotides) under Fukomys damarensis (Damara mole-rat). Its description in RNAcentral is "lncRNA (ENSFDAG00000027183.1)". The record is from RNAcentral. Lineage: Eukaryota; Metazoa; Chordata; Mammalia; Rodentia; Bathyergidae.